Molecule: long non-coding RNA, 1307 nt
Organism: Cebus imitator (Panamanian white-faced capuchin)
Lineage: Eukaryota; Metazoa; Chordata; Mammalia; Primates; Cebidae
Exons: 5
Source: RefSeq, a predicted model, not a curated record
CAUUCAUGGGCAAUGAGUCAGCAGCUCUGACAGCACUAAAUACGGUCACCAGUUAAUAUGCAAGAUAACAGGCUCACAUGUUACUUCAGAAAAUGCUGAUUUCUAGAAAAGACAUUGCAGGAAAUUGAAGAGACUCCCUAUUUACUUCAAUAAUAUUCAUUGGGUAUGCUUGUUCAAAGUCCUGAUCAAGGAACCCCUCUCCAUUUCUGGUGUUGAUACAACUCUUCCAACCACCUGUUCUUCUAGCUACAAAAACAUGCAUUGUGAAUCAACGGGAAGGAGUGAGCCCAGCUGGUAACCUGACACCAGGAGCAUAGGUGGGCAGAACUUUUCAUGGACUUGGACAGCCAUGGGAAAUCAUUUCGCCAGGACUUUGGGUAAAGCCUGAAUUUUUUGGACUUCGAGGCUACACUGGCAGGGUUAUCAAGUUAUACAGCUCCAAUGUAUUCCAUGUGAAUGGUGCCCUGGGAGAUCUGCCCCAUGGUGGUGUCAUAUGCCUGAACACAUAGCUGUGUUCAUUAUCCCAAGGUAUUUCUUUGAAAAAAAACUUUUCUAUCUUUAAAAGUCUGAUGUUACCCAUCUAUAUUAGUCAAGUUUCUUCAGAGAGACAGAACCAAUAGGGUAAAGAUAUAAACAGGCAUAGAUAUAUGGGAGAGGAUUUAUUAAACAAAUUGGCACACAUGAUUAUAGAGGCUGAGAAGUUCUAUGACAUGUCAUCUGCAAGCUGCAGACCUUGGGAUGCUGGUAACAUGGCUCAGCCCAAUCUGAAGGCUUCAGAACCGUGGGAGCCGAUGGUGUAACUCUACUCUGUGGCCAAAAGCCUGAGAAGAGGAGUGGAGAGGGGGAUGAGGAAUAGUGUAAGUCCAAAAGCUAGGGAGCCUGGAGUUGUUGUCCAAUGACAAGAGAGGAAGAGUGCACCCCAGCUCCAGCACAUACAUCAACAUAUUCACCUUGUCUCUGUUCUCUCUUGGCUGCUAGCAGAUUACAAGGUGCCUGCCUGCAUUGAGGGCAGAUCUUCCGCACCCAGUCCACUAAUGCUAAUCUUCUCUGGAAACACUCUCACAGACACGUCCCAAAAUAAUGCUUUAUCAGGUUUCUACAUAUUCCUUAAUCCAGUCAAGUUGACACUUCAAAUUAACUAUCUCACCGUCAUGUAAACCAAACCGUAGCACUUUUUACUAAACCAGUGUGGUCUAUGGAUAACAAUUCAAGUCAUUCUUUUGAUGGUAAAUCACACUAGUUUAAAUCAUGAGUUAGAUGUGUAGGGGGCUUCCAAUCUCUCCAUUUCCCUACUUUACUAGGGUUUA